Perca fluviatilis (European perch) is the source of this 735-nucleotide long non-coding RNA. RefSeq lists it as uncharacterized. The transcript has 3 exons. The record is from RefSeq and is a predicted model, not a curated record. NCBI's taxonomy places the organism in Eukaryota, Metazoa, Chordata, Actinopteri, Perciformes, Percidae.
AUUUCUCUGUCUGAACAUUCUUCAGAUUUGCAUCGUGUCAGAGUUCUGCUCUUCUUCUUCAUCUUCAGACUUUGUGCAGUUUAGAUUUUAACAUUCAAUCCUUUUUACUGAGAACAAGUUGAUCAAAGGACAACAGCACCUUCACACCUGAGCUUUCUCCACCAACUCUACGGUAUCUCUCCUGCUGCUGACACUAGAACUCAUCUCUCUCCUGUCAUUCAGAUCAACAUGAAGAUCUCUAUAUUUGCCAGUGUUCUGCUGCUCUCUGCUGCUCUGCUUUUCCUGGGACCAGAAACUGCAGAUGCUCAAUAUUCAUCAUUUGAAUUUAAGCAUAUCGUCUCGGAGAUGAAUCCUGAUGAAUGUAACGGUACGAUGAAUGCCAAAAAGAUCAGAGAUGACAACAACAAGAAGAACUGUAGGCCCUUGAAUACCUUCAUCAUAGAUUUUUUAAUAGGGUCAAAGCUGCCUGUAGGAAUAAUGAAGGCAGAGAAACAGAAAGAACAACCUUAUACUCUUUCCCUGUUGUUAAUUGCACCACUACAGACAGAAAGCCGUUUCCGUGUGAUUAUACUGGUGCGACUGGCUACGGGAGAAUUGUAGUUAUUUGUAAAGGGCUCAAUCCUAUUCACCUUGAAAGGGUUAUUCCUCAGUAAUUAUAACCUGAUCAAUCAGAGUAAUCUGUUACUACCUGAUGAACCAGAGUAAUCUAUUACUACCUGAUGAAUCAGAGUAAUC